This 1169-nucleotide long non-coding RNA is filed under the name Ananas comosus (pineapple). RNAcentral's name for it is "long non-coding RNA (ACOM_LNC036213)". Lineage: Eukaryota; Viridiplantae; Streptophyta; Magnoliopsida; Poales; Bromeliaceae. The record is from RNAcentral.
AACACUUAGUGUGUGGCAUUAAUGAAUCAAAAAUGCAUGUGAAUGAGUAUAAAGAACAUGUAGUAUAAAUGACACUAGUGAUGUUAAAGAAUGCAAGUAAAUGACAUAGAUGACAUUAUGACAUAACAACCUUAUAGUUAAGGGUCAUAUGAGCAUUGUUUAUAGUUAAGGAUUGGAUUGAACUUAGUAUCCUUAUAGUUAAGGAUUGGAUUAUACUCGCCUAUAAGUCCUGGCUUGAGGGUGGUAGUUCCCCCCUCAAGCGAUGAGUUUCGGAGUUGUCAUCACUGGGUUGGUGCUGUUUCCCAGAGGACGGUCUCGUCAGGUCGUAGUAGUCUUCCCGAUGUUUGGGAGUAUGCGUUGGUGAGUUGUAGGCAAACCCACGGGUUAGCCAAGAGAUUGGGUAAUGGAAAUAAGAUCUUGCAUUCAUCAUGAGCAUUCUAUUUGAGUAUAUCAUUGAUUAUAUAUUAUUCAGGCAUAUUAGCUGCAUUUGUAUAGUUGGUUACUAUCUCUCUAUUCUUCUAUUAUGCCUGAUUUAGACUUAGUGGGAAAGUCGGAUAGGUCGGCGGCCGAACCCACUGGGAACUUUAUUGUAGUUCUCACACCACUAUUUUCACAGAGCCGGAACCAAGUGAGCCGGCCGACGAUCGCGGUAAAGGUAUCGCGCCAUAGACAGGGACCACUCGAGUUGAUUUCAUAUUUUGUUUAGUUGCAUACCCUUAUGUAUCAUCUUUUGUAUUUGAUGAUUAUAGAUGUAUGAAUGAUGGUUAAAAUGUAAAGAGAGCCUAUGUUAAAUGUAAAAGUUAUAUUUUGAAAAUCAUGUGAUGUAAAGAGAAGAAAUGAUGUUUAAAGAAAAAAAUUUAAAAGUUGAAUGCAUGUAUAUGGUUAAAAGUUAAUCAUAUUAUUUGUAUGAUUGUAUAGUUUAGAUUCUUUCACUUUAGCUUCUGCUUGCCCUCGUGCAAGCCAUAUAUUUAUGUUUCCGCAUGUGCAAUAUAUCUAUUUGAAUUGUACUUGUGUUGAUCCUUAGGCGGACAGGGAAGGUGCUGUUCGUUCGGCGUCUGUUCGACGAGCCCGAACCGAUCGAAUAGGCCGGUCACGGGGCGUGACAAUUCGCGGCUUAUCGAAUUCUAAUGCGAGUCACUUCCGAAAAAGAUAAGAACGAAUAUUUUUUG